RNAcentral lists this ribosomal RNA (497 nucleotides) under uncultured bacterium. RNAcentral describes it as "partial 16S ribosomal RNA". It matches the Rfam family "Bacterial small subunit ribosomal RNA", at positions 28 to 507 of the family's 1533-position model. The record is from RNAcentral.
GAUGAACGCUGGCGGCGUGCCUAAUACAUGCAAGUCGAGCGAACAGACGAGGAGCUUGCUCCUCUGACGUUAGCGGCGGACGGGUGAGUAACACGUGGAUAACCUACCUAUAAGACUGGGAUAACUUCGGGAAACCGGAGCUAAUACCGGAUAAUAUAUUGAACCGCAUGUUUCAAUAGUGAAAGACGGUUUUGCUGUCCCUUAUAGAUGGAUCCGCGCCGCAUUAGCUAGUUGGUAAGGUAACGGCUUACCAAGGCAACGAUGCGUAGCCGACCUGAGAGGGUGAUCGGCCACACUGGAACUGAGACACGGUCCAGACUCCUACGGGAGGCAGCAGUAGGGAAUCUUCCGCAAUGGGCGAAAGCCUGACGGAGCAACGCCGCGUGAGUGAUGAAGGUCUUCGGAUCGUAAAACUCUGUUAUUAGGGAAGAACAAAUGUGUAAGUAACUAUGCACGUCUUGACGGUACCUAAUCAGAAAGCCACGGCUAACUACGUG